UACAUGACUCUAUUUACCUAAUUUCAUUACAUUAUCCCGCAUAAAACUGUUAAUAGACAACCGAAAAUUAUACCCGUGUAUACGUUGUUUAUUUCACGAUGACGUCAUUUGGGUUUUGCCCAUUUUGAAUCAUGUCACAGGUCACAGUUUGUUUAUCUUCACUGAGUUAGUUUCACAAUGUUAUUAUUAUCGACGCAUGAUCAGGUUAUCGGGGUGAUUUUGAUAGCUGGAAUGACUUAUAAAAAUAACUCCCGGCAAUUCAGUAGCUCUUUUGAAUUGCUCUAGUAAACAGCUCCGGCAUUGAGUUUUUAGAAUAAAAAAAUGAGCGAAUACCAAUAUUUGACUUCGGAAAUCCAAGUGCCGAAAGAAUGGCCGGUGAACAUUGCACGACAAUUAUUUGAACAUCUUGUUAAAAAUGCAACGAUACGUCAUCGAAAAGGUCAGCAAGUAGUCGUUACCAUAGAAAACGUAUCGGCAGUAGUUACCAAAUUUGAAAACAAGCCGGGAUAUAUUUUAGAAAAAAUAGAAGAAAUUUAAACGUCUAAAUAAACACAUCAAGCUAAUACACAAAUGCACGGAAAAUUAUGAGGAAUAGUUACCUCAAUGCCGGAGCUGUUUACUAGAGCAAUUCAAAAGAGCUACUGAAUUGCCGGGAGUUAUUUUUAUAAGUCAUUCCAGCUAUCAAAAUCACCCCGAUAACCUGAUCAUGCGUCGAUAAUAAUAACAUUGUGAAACUAACUCAGUGAAGAUAAACAAACUGUGACCUGUGACAUGAUUCAAAAUGGGCAAAACCCAAAUGACGUCAUCGUGAAAUAAACAACGUAUACACGGGUUUGAGCGGCAGAAUCACAACUUUCGCCGGAAAAAUAAGAUCUAUUUUUUAAACGUCUAAAUAAACACAUCAAGCUAAUACACAAAUGCACGGAAAAUUAUGAGGAAUAGUUACCUCAAUGCCGGAGCUGUUUACUAGAGCAAUUCAAAAGAGCUACUGAAUUGCCGGGAGUUAUUUUUAUAAGUCAUUCCAGCUAUCAAAAUCACCCCGAUAACCUGAUCAUGCGUCGAUAAUAAUAACAUUGUGAAACUAACUCAGUGAAGAUAAACAAACUGUGACCUGUGACAUGAUUCAAAAUGGGCAAAACCCAAAUGACGUCAUCGUGAAAUAAACAACGUAUACACGGGUAUAAUUUUCGGUUGUCUAUUAACAGUUUUAUGCGGGAUAAUGUAAUGAAAUUAGGUAAAUAGAGUCAUGUAGGGCAAGUUUGCGCA
Molecule: long non-coding RNA, 1266 nt
Organism: Pieris napi
Lineage: Eukaryota; Metazoa; Arthropoda; Insecta; Lepidoptera; Pieridae
Exons: 5
Source: RefSeq, a predicted model, not a curated record